Small nuclear RNA from Mustela putorius furo (domestic ferret), 178 nucleotides. Its record names the gene U1. It matches the Rfam family "U1 spliceosomal RNA". Rfam says of the family: U1 is a small nuclear RNA (snRNA) component of the spliceosome (involved in pre-mRNA splicing). Its 5' end forms complementary base pairs with the 5' splice junction, thus defining the 5' donor site of an intron. NCBI's taxonomy places the organism in Eukaryota, Metazoa, Chordata, Mammalia, Carnivora, Mustelidae. The record is from Ensembl.
ACACUUACCAGGCAGGGGAGAGACCAUGAUCAUGAAGGUGCUUUUUCCGGGGUGAGGCUCAUUCACUGCGCUCUGAAUGUGCUGGCCCCAUAAUUUCCCCAAAUGUGGGAGAAACUCAGCUGCAUAAUUUAUGGUAGUGACGGACUGAAAAAAAAAAAGUUAUUGAACACACCCAUCA